ACGGUGAAGCCCCUUCGGGGGUGGAUCAGUGGCGAACGGGUGAGUAACACGUGAGCAACCUGCCCCCUACUUCGGGAUAAGCCUUGGAAACGGGGUCUAAUACCGGAUAUGAACACGUGCCGCAUGGUGGGUGUUGGAAAGUUUUUCGGUGGGGGAUGGGCUCGCGGCCUAUCAGCUUGUUGGUGGGGUAAUGGCCUACCAAGGCGUCGACGGGUAGCCGGCCUGAGAGGGCGACCGGCCACACUGGGACUGAGACACGGCCCAGACUCCUACGGGAGGCAGCAGUGGGGAAUAUUGCACAAUGGGCGAAAGCCUGAUGCAGCGACGCCACGUGAGGGAUGACGGCCUUCGGGUUGUAAACCUCUUUCAGCAGGGAAGAAGCGCAAGUGACGGUACCUGCAGAAGAAGCGCCGGCUAACUACGUGCCAGCAGCCGCGGUAAUACGUAGGGCGCAAGCGUUGUCCGGAAUUAUUGGGCGUAAAGAGCUCGUAGGCGGUCUGUCGCGUCUGGUGUGAAAUCCCAUGGCUCAACUGUGGGCUUGCAUCGGGUACGGGCAGACUAGAGUGCUGUAGGGGAGACUGGAAUUCCUGGUGUAGCGGUGGAAUGCGCAGAUAUCAGGAGGAACACCGAUGGCGAAGGCAGGUCUCUGGGCAGUUACUGACGCUGAGGAGCGAAAGCAUGGGGAGCGAACAGGAUUAGAUACCCUGGUAGUCCAUGCCGUAAACGUUGGGCACUAGGUGUGGGGCCAGUUCCACUGGUUCUGUGCCGCAGCUAACGCAUUAAGUGCCCCGCCUGGGGAGUACGGCCGCAAGGCUAAAACUCAAAGGAAUUGACGGGGGCCCGCACAAGCGGCGGAGCAUGCGGAUUAAUUCGAUGCAACGCGAAGAACCUUACCAAGGCUUGACAUGUACGAGAAAGCCCCAGAGAUGGGGUUCUCUUUGGACACUCGUACACAGGUGGUGCAUGGUUGUCGUCAGCUCGUGUCGUGAGAUGUUGGGUUAAGUCCCGCAACGAGCGCAACCCUUAUCCUAUGUUGCCAGCGGGUUAUGCCGGGGACUCAUGGGAGACUGCCGGGGUCAACUCGGAGGAAGGUGGGGAUGACGUCAAAUCAUCAUGCCCCUUAUGUCUUGGGCUUCACGCAUGCUACAAUGGCCGGUACAGAGGGCUGCGAUACCGUGAGGUGGAGCGAAUCCCAAAAAGCCGGUCUCAGUUCGGAUCGGGGUCUGCAACUCGACCCCGUGAAGUCGGAGUCGCUAGUAAUCGCAGAUCAGCAACGCUGCGGUGAAUACGUUCCCGGGCCUUGUACACACCGCCCGUCAAGUCACGAAAGUUGGUAACACCCGAA
RNAcentral lists this ribosomal RNA (1345 nucleotides) under Promicromonospora sp. Its description in RNAcentral is "bacterial SSU rRNA". It matches the Rfam family "Bacterial small subunit ribosomal RNA", at positions 66 to 1425 of the family's 1533-position model. The record is from RNAcentral. Lineage: Bacteria; Bacillati; Actinomycetota; Actinomycetes; Micrococcales; Promicromonosporaceae.